Molecule: ribosomal RNA, 252 nt
Filed under: uncultured bacterium
Lineage: Bacteria
Description: partial 16S ribosomal RNA
Rfam family: Bacterial small subunit ribosomal RNA
Source: RNAcentral
UACGGAGGAUGCGAGCGUUAUCCGGAUUUAUUGGGUUUAAAGGGUGCGUAGGCGGGCUUUUAAGUCAGCGGUAAAAAUUCGGGGCUCAACCCCGUCCGGCCGUUGAAACUGGGGGCCUUGAGUGGGCGAGAAGAAGGCGGAAUGCGUGGUGUAGCGGUGAAAUGCAUAGAUAUCGCGCAGAACCCCGAUUGCGAAGGCAGCCUUCCGGCGCCCUACUGACGCUGGGGCACGAAAGUGCGGGGAUCGAACAGG